AAAUCGCUACACAUUUUAUUCCAGCACCAAGCUUGCAGCUUUGUACUCAAGCUUGCAAAACACCCGACUCCAUUCUCUCCUCAUCAUGACAUUGUUGCUGAAGAAUAUGGCUCUGACAUCGAACGUGAGAGCUUGCCAACGUUAACUGGAGUACGCUCAUUGAUACUCGAUGCCACGCUUUGAAGUUCCUAUUAUAUAUAUAUUGAUGCUUUAUUCCCUCAAUUGAACCGCAUGAAGGUCCUGGGCGAGUUUUAUUACUAUAUAAAUACUUGAACGCCACAAUAUUGCACCCAUAAGAAAGCAAAUUUCUGUUAUUUUGCCCCAACGAAUUGAGAUUGCUUUCUCCUCACGAUGGUAUCAUUUGGGAACAUCAAAUUGUUGACAUACGUUCACACAUUCUCAACUUGAACUCGGUUCUACAGAUUGUUGGUUAUCUGUAGACUCCAUAUGCUAUUUGUCGGCUCAUCAUCCAUGAUGGUGUGGAUAGAAGGCAUAUACACGAAGAAUGGGCCUCAUAAUGACUUAUUUCUUGACACCC
Molecule: small RNA, 538 nt
Filed under: Histoplasma capsulatum var. duboisii H88
Lineage: Eukaryota; Fungi; Ascomycota; Eurotiomycetes; Onygenales; Ajellomycetaceae
Description: Histoplasma capsulatum H88 hypothetical RNA
Source: RNAcentral